Trichomycterus rosablanca is the source of this 2646-nucleotide long non-coding RNA. RefSeq lists it as uncharacterized. The transcript is spliced from 2 exons. Lineage: Eukaryota; Metazoa; Chordata; Actinopteri; Siluriformes; Trichomycteridae. The record is from RefSeq and is a predicted model, not a curated record.
UUUUGUGUGGUAGGGAGACAUGUCGAUGGCUGGUACUUGACUUCGUUGAUAAGUUGCUUUUGUGUUUUUAUUGUCGUUAUUACUUUAGUGGAGUAUGUUGUGCAGCUGAUUUUUAUUUUUUUCGUAUGUAGGUAGUAGUACCUCUUAGACGGCUGUACAGUUAAUAACAGGAAAGGAAGCUUUACUGUUUUUAAUUAGAAGUGGUUGUUGAGCUUAUUUUUUUUUAAUGUUUUUUAAACAUUAAAGCUAAAUGUUAAGUGGCUUAUAGAGAAGGUAUUAGCCGUAGUUGUAUUUUUUUUUUAAAGGCACGAUUGAUAAUGUGAAUCAUGUUGGUUUUAUUGAACCUUUUGGUUUAUUUGAUGGCAGAACAGUAACAGGCCUAUGUGCGUAGACAAAAUGGCGCUCAUGGAAGGUCAAAUGGCUACCAUUGGUAGAGUAGCUGUUUUUAAUUAAAUAUAGUUUUUAUUUGAAUUUGUUUGUAUCUAUAAGUACUUAUGAGACGACGUAGAGUAAAUAUAUAUUUAAUUUGACGGCAUUAUAUCGAGUGAUGACUCGAAGAUGACUCGUAAAUCUUUGUACGUUAUUAAUAUACAGUAGUUUGCCAGUCAUGUGAGUUUACCACAGGAGCAAUGUAUUUUAUACAGUUUUUGUUUUUAUAUGCUUCGUUUUUUACCAAAGUCAAAUGGGUGUCGAAUGCUAAAUAUUUUAUAAUUUUAUAAAUUUGUAAUUUCUUAGUCUUCAGGAUUAAGUAGCUAUUGAUAGUAGCUAAAAAAAAAAAAACAACUAAAAAAAAAAACUAAACACUUCAAAUGCCUUGUCGGUUAUUACAUUGCUGAUAAAUGAAGCCAGUGGACUGUCUUGUUUUCACUUCUGAAAUCGGCUGUUUUAAUGCCUUUAAUCGGAGGAUCGAGGAUUUUUGUUUGUUUUUAAUUGGACUGAGUUAAUCAUUCAAAGGACUUAGCUGUAUACAACUGUGUACUUGAGUCGUAUCUACGGAGAGAAGAUGAGGAACAGAGAAGAGUCGGGGACCGGACGGAAGCCAGGGGAGGAUCAGGAAAGCUCAGGCCAGGGUGAAGAAGCGGAGAGUGGGGAAGACACGACAGAGCAGGCGGAGUUUCCAGAGAAAGAGGGGCGCAAGGCAGAGUAGCGACAGCAAGUGGCCACAAGAGGGAGCACAGCAGAUCUAGACCAGAAGAGGCCAAGCUAAAGACGAGGUGUCCAGCAGAGCGGGCGAGUGAGGGGUCAGGGAUCGAUUACAGGGCCACCGAGUAGCGUCUGAAGUCAUUGAGGGUGUUUGGUUUGUAUAAAGGGUAGAGGUAUCUCUGUGAAGAAGAAAAAAACCAUAUCUCCCAAGUUAUUUUCUUUCAAAGGAAAUUUGCUCGCACAGGUUUGUUCUUUCUUUUCAGGCGUGGUGCGUGUGUGUGAAAUCCUACCGUUCGUUGACCACGUCUGGUUCCUGCGGUGAUGAACACCUAUAAUCGGCUCUGUACCCGUCCUGAGAGCAGAUGUAGUCACCAGGAAAAGGGGUUGAUCGAUCGUUCUUCUAAAAACCAAUAAGUGUCCCGAGAGGCGAUCUACAUUGAGGCUUGUUCAGCGUUGAAGUCCCGCCGCGUCGCUGCAUACUAAUAUGUCCACGUAGCCCAUCAUAAAUUUGAAGCUGCCCUGCGUGCCGUUUGCUGGUAAAAGAUAACAUUGCUCAAGGUUUAAUACAUUUUAAGGGAGUAACUAUUCCCUUAUUUAAAAAAAAAAAAAAUGGACUUGCAAAUGUGGUCUAUUUUAUGUUAUUUGCGUUUUGGGGACUGGGAAGGGGCAACUUCGUUUUUGAGUGCUUUUUCCACAGGCUCACGUUCUGUAAAAAUAGCACAACAGGAUCCCUCGGCUGUAGAGUGAAGCCUGCUGUUAAGAUGCGCAACAGUGUAAAGAGUUUUGUAAGGCUGCAAGUAAAGGCCCUGGUUGGAUUUUGAGGUAUCACUUACUGGCUUUGGUCCACCCUUUGCAGCUUUUCAGAGUGGUUAGAUAAUGGCACGUGUAGUACUGUAAGAGCACCAGCAGAGGAGGCGACUCAUCAUGGCAGCUAGCCCAAAGCUUUGGACACAGGCAAAAACCCACAGGCAUGAAAUCAGUAUGGAAUUUGUAUUGUAAAAUGGCAUCAGGAUUGUAAUGAUACUGGUUUUGUAUAUGGAUGUCCGUGUGGUUAUGGGGGCUUGGGGACUGCUUAAUUGUGACUUUUGCAGAUCAAAGGAAUCAAAUCCAAAAACUGGUUGUGCUACAGAUAUCCACUUCCCCAACUAGAGCAAAGAUGCUUCAUGUGGUUUUUACCUGUUCUGAAACGGCAAGUAAUUGGUAUCUUGUAUAAAUGGAAAAUUUUUCUUGUACAUUUCAGACUUUGGCAUUUAUGUAUCAGUAGUGACUAUUACUAGUUCUAUUUGGUUUGAGGAUGAGUGGGUGUGGUUGUAGGCUUUUCUUUUGCAGUGAGCAGUGUCCAAGUGCUUUCAUGUUCAAGAUCUGCUGAUCACCCUCAUGAAUUUUGUACUAAGGUUUGCUUUUGCACAUUAUUUAUAUAUGCACAUAAUGAGGUAAAUUUAAUUUGCUUGCUUACAUGUUGUAACUUUCUUGGUUAAUAAAUUAAUUGUUUCAGUAUUGAAA